AGGACGAACGCUGGCGGCGUGCUUAACACAUGCAAGUCGAGCGGAAAGGCCCUUCGGGGUACUCGAGCGGCGAACGGGUGAGUAACACGUGAGUAAUCUGCCCCUAGCUCUGGGAUAGCUCCGGGAAAACCGGGAUUAAUACCAGAUAUUACCACUUUAGACAUCUCUUGUGGUGGAAAGAAUUUCGGCUAGGGAUGAACUCGCGGCCUAUCAGCUUGUUGGUGAGGUAACGGCUCACCAAGGCGACGACGGGGUA
Molecule: ribosomal RNA, 256 nt
Filed under: uncultured bacterium
Lineage: Bacteria
Description: partial small subunit ribosomal RNA
Rfam family: Bacterial small subunit ribosomal RNA
Source: RNAcentral